GACGAACGCUGGCGGCGCGCUUAACACAUGCAAGUCGAGCGAUGAAAUUUCGACAGAUCCCUUCGGGGUGAAGAUGAAAUGGAUUAGCGGCGGACGGGUGAGUAACACGUGAGUAACCUGCCUUUGACAUUGGGAUAGCCUCGGGAAACUGGGAUUAAUACCAAAUGACACUAACUGAUCACAUGAUCAAUUAGUCAAAGAAAUUCGGUCAAAGAUGGACUCGCGGCUGAUUAGCUAGUUGGUGAGGUAACGGCCCACCAAGGCGACGAUCAGUAGCCGGCCUGAGAGGGUGAUCGGCCACAUUGGAACUGAGACACGGUCCAAACUCCUACGGGAGGCAGCAGUGGGGAAUAUUGCACAAUGGGGGAAACCCUGAUGCAGCGACGCCGCGUGAGCGAAGAAGGCCUUCGGGUCGUAAAGCUCUUUUAUGAGGGAAGAUAAUGGCGGUACCUCAAGAAAAAGCCCCGGCUAACUACGU
This 478-nucleotide ribosomal RNA is filed under the name uncultured bacterium. RNAcentral describes it as "partial 16S ribosomal RNA". It matches the Rfam family "Bacterial small subunit ribosomal RNA", at positions 28 to 506 of the family's 1533-position model. The record is from RNAcentral.